GACGAACGCUGGCGGCGUGCCUAAUACAUGCAAGUAGAACGCUGAAGGAGGAGCUUGCUUCUCUGGAUGAGUUGCGAACGGGUGAGUAACGCGUAGGUAACCUGCCUGGUAGCGGGGGAUAACUAUUGGAAACGAUAGCUAAUACCGCAUAAGAGUAGAUGUUGCAUGACAUUUGCUUAAAAGGUGCAAUUGCAUCACUACCAGAUGGACCUGCGUUGUAUUAGCUAGUUGGUGAGGUAACGGCUCACCAAGGCAACGAUACAUAGCCGACCUGAGAGGGUGAUCGGCCACACUGGGACUGAGACACGGCCCAGACUCCUACGGGAGGCAGCAGUAGGGAAUCUUCGGCAAUGGACGGAAGUCUGACCGAGCAACGCCGCGUGAGUGAAGAAGGUUUUCGGAUCGUAAAGCUCUGUUGUAAGAGAGGAACGAGUGUGAGAGUGGAAAGUUCACACUGUGACGGUAUCUUACCAGAAAGGGACGGCUAACUACGUG
This 495-nucleotide ribosomal RNA is filed under the name uncultured bacterium. Its description in RNAcentral is "partial 16S ribosomal RNA". It matches the Rfam family "Bacterial small subunit ribosomal RNA", at positions 28 to 507 of the family's 1533-position model. The record is from RNAcentral.